Molecule: ribosomal RNA, 759 nt
Filed under: uncultured Enterobacteriaceae bacterium
Lineage: Bacteria; Pseudomonadati; Pseudomonadota; Gammaproteobacteria; Enterobacterales; Enterobacteriaceae
Description: bacterial SSU rRNA
Rfam family: Bacterial small subunit ribosomal RNA
Source: RNAcentral
AUUGAACGCUGGCGGCAGGCCUAACACAUGCAAGUCGAGCGGCAGCGGAAAGUAGCUUGCUACUUUGCCGGCGAGCGGCGGACGGGUGAGUAAUGUCUGGGAAACUGCCUGAUGGAGGGGGAUAACUACUGGAAACGGUAGCUAAUACCGCAUGACCUCGAAAGAGCAAAGUGGGGGAUCUUCGGACCUCACGCCAUCGGAUGUGCCCAGAUGGGAUUAGCUAGUAGGUGAGGUAAUGGCUCACUAAGUUGACGAUCCCUAGCUGGUCUGAGAGGAUGACCAGCCACACUGGAACUGAGACACGGUCCAGACUCCUACGGGAGGCAGCAGUGGGGAAUAUUGCACAAUGGGCGCAAGCCUGAUGCAGCCAUGCCGCGUGUGUGAAGAAGGCCUUAGGGUUGUAAAGCACUUUCAGCGAGGAGGAAGGCACCAUACUUAAUACGUGUGGUGAUUGACGUUACUCGCAGAAGAAGCACCGGCUAACUCCGUGCCAGCAGCCGCGGUAAUACGGAGGGUGCAAGCGUUAAUCGGAAUUACUGGGCGUAAAGCGCACGCAGGCGGUUUGUUAAGUCAGAUGUGAAAUCCCCGCGCUUAACGUGGGAACUGCAUUUGAAACUGGCAAGCUAGAGUCUUGUAGAGGGGGGUAGAAUUCCAGGUGUAGCGGUGAAAUGCGUAGAGAUCUGGAGGAAUACCGGUGGCGAAGGCGGCCCCCUGGACAAAGACUGACGCUCAGGUGCGAAAGCGUGGGGAGCAAACAGG